Molecule: ribosomal RNA, 438 nt
Filed under: uncultured bacterium
Lineage: Bacteria
Description: bacterial SSU rRNA
Rfam family: Bacterial small subunit ribosomal RNA
Source: RNAcentral
GCAUAACGCGAAGAACCUUACCUACCCUUGACAUCCAGAGAACUUAGCAGAGAUGCUUUGGUGCCUUCGGGAACUCUGAGACAGGUGCUGCAUGGCUGUCGUCAGCUCGUGUUGUGAAAUGUUGGGUUAAGUCCCGCAACGAGCGCAACCCUUAUCCUUUGUUGCCAGCGGUUAGGCCGGGAACUCAAAGGAGACUGCCAGUGAUAAACUGGAGGAAGGUGGGGAUGACGUCAAGUCAUCAUGGCCCUUACGAGUAGGGCUACACACGUGCUACAAUGGCGCAUACAAAGAGAAGCGACCUCGCGAGAGCAAGCGGACCUCAUAAAGUGCGUCGUAGUCCGGAUUGGAGUCUGCAACUCGACUCCAUGAAGUCGGAAUCGCUAGUAAUCGUAGAUCAGAAUGCUACGGUGAAUACGUUCCCGGGUCUUGUACACACCG